CGGUAGUCUCUUUUCUUUUGCUUAAGGGAAGAUGGCUUGGGGAUUCGACAAAGGCAAUAAUACAUUUUGGGGAGGUUUCAAAAUCAAGGGGAAUGGUUUAAAGGGGAAAAGACUAAAAGGUCCCUCUAUGAUAUUUGAAAGUAACUACGAAAAACAAAACCUCUGCGACACGGUGGCUAUUGCAGGGACUAGCCUCUGCGGUGCGGCGCCCAUCAUGUGAUCCAGCCUCUAUAGCACGGUGACUAUCGUGUUAUCCAUCUUUUAUGAUGCGGGGCUAUCGUGGAGGCUUACUGCUUCUGUGUCCCAAAAAUACUCCAAACCUAGUCUAAAAGCUCCAAAAUUCAUCUG
This 348-nucleotide long non-coding RNA is filed under the name Capsicum annuum. RNAcentral describes it as "long non-coding RNA (CANN_LNC017912)". Lineage: Eukaryota; Viridiplantae; Streptophyta; Magnoliopsida; Solanales; Solanaceae. The record is from RNAcentral.